Long non-coding RNA from Salvia hispanica, 527 nucleotides. RefSeq lists it as uncharacterized. NCBI's taxonomy places the organism in Eukaryota, Viridiplantae, Streptophyta, Magnoliopsida, Lamiales, Lamiaceae. The record is from RefSeq and is a predicted model, not a curated record.
UUCUAACCUUACGCGGCGACGCUGCUUUUAAGUUCAUCAAUCCCAAUUCCCAAGCAGCCAAUCCAAAUCAGGAUUGAAUCUCUCCAUUCUCACACUCUCAUGACUAAAAUCCUGCAAAGAAAAUCAGCAAAUGGAAACAUAUUUGACAAAAAGGCCUUGAGUUUCAAGUGGAUCUUCUAUCAUUAGGCAAGAGUUACAAGAUUCAGACCAAAUAAUUGAUAAAGAUGAAGUUGAAGCUGACCCUGAUUGAGGACUCGUCUCCAAUUAUGAGGAUUUGUGGCUGCCCUUGUUGUCUUCGGUUUGCCGAGAAGCCAUUUCCGGCAGAUUGGCAUCUCGUAGACAUAUACCUAGAUUUAGUUUGUUUGUUUUUUUUUGUAAAGGCUCUAAAGUUUAAGUUUAAGAUCUCAUCACUUUAUGCUUCUGACUAUGGAGACUGUAUUUUCUUUUUGUUAAAUUCUAUCACUAUAUGCUUAUGUGUGAUGAAAUAAUUAAGGGAAACACAAAAUGGCUUCUGGUGUUACCUUUUU